GUAAGCGAGACGAUUGCGGGCAUAGCGAUAUGCGUGAGGAAAGUCCGGGCUCCAGAGAGCAGGGAUGCCGGCUAACGGCCGGUGGAGGCGACUCCAAGGAGAGUGCAGCAGAAAAGAAACGCCCUUUUUAGGGUAAGUGUGAAAAUGUGAGGUAAGAGCUCACAGGGGGAAUGGAGACAUCUCCCUCGUGUAAACCCCAUCCGGAGCAACAUCAACCCAGAACAUAAGCCUGCUCGGCAGCUUCUGAACCGAUGGCUUGAGCAAAGAAGCAAUUCUUUGCCACAGAUAGAUAAUCGUCUAAUACAGAACCCGGCUUAUUGCUU
This 323-nucleotide RNase P RNA is filed under the name human gut metagenome. RNAcentral describes it as "Bacterial RNase P class A". It matches the Rfam family "Bacterial RNase P class A". From Rfam's summary of the family: Ribonuclease P (RNase P) is a ubiquitous endoribonuclease, found in archaea, bacteria and eukarya as well as chloroplasts and mitochondria. The record is from RNAcentral.